GAUGAAGAACGCAGCGAAAUGCGAUACGUAGUGUGAAUUGCAGAAUCCAGUGAAUCAUCGAAUCUUUGAACGCACAUUGCGCCCGCCAGUAUUCUGGCGGGCAUGCCUGUUCGAGCGUCAUUUCAACCAUCAAGCCCCCGGCUUGUGUUGGGGACCUGCGGCUGCCGCAGGCCCUGAAAACCAGUGGCGGGCUCGCUAGUCACUCCGAGCGUAGUAAUACAUCUCGCUCAGGGCGUGCUGCGGGUUCCGGCCGUUAAAAAGCCUUAUUUACCCAAGGUUGACCUCGGAUCAGGUAGGAAGACCCGCUGAACUUAAGCAUAUCAAUAAGCGGAGGA
RNAcentral lists this unclassified non-coding RNA (335 nucleotides) under soil metagenome. RNAcentral describes it as "partial contains 5.8S ribosomal RNA, internal transcribed spacer 2, and large subunit ribosomal RNA". The stretch from base 1 to 120 matches the Rfam family "5.8S ribosomal RNA", at positions 35 to 154 of the family's 154-position model. The record is from RNAcentral.